UCUCUACUGUCUUUCUCAAAAUGAAGGAUGUGGAUUCAUCUGACUCUGGACUGUAUUUCUGUGGAUAUUAUAUAAGCAGACACCCCGUUAUUGUUAGCGCAACAUAUUUAAAGGUUCAAGAGGAGCUCUGUGAAAUAACAAGUCUGCUGAGUGUGAUUCUGAGCGGAGUGACUGUUGUUCUCACUAAGGUCAUCAUUAGCCUUGUUGUCAAAAUGAGGCGUCACACAGAAUCUGGACUCUGACCUGAAAGAUGAAACACUGAUUUUCCAUCCAUCAACUAAAACAGAAGAAGAAGCUCCUCCUUAUUUGUGCUGUGACUACACUGGCUCAGAUGGCAACACUGAAGAGGCUCAGAGAGGAUGUUACAGAAGGAAUGUUAGAAAUACAAAAUCACUGCAUGUUUUCUUUUCAGAGAGAGAGAGGCUGCUGAGCAGCAUCACAGACGGGGAGUGGGGAGGAAACCCAGUGCUAUCUUUGACUGUACAUGGUC
This is a long non-coding RNA of Lates calcarifer (barramundi perch), 490 nucleotides long. RefSeq lists it as uncharacterized. The transcript is spliced from 3 exons. The record is from RefSeq and is a predicted model, not a curated record. NCBI's taxonomy places the organism in Eukaryota, Metazoa, Chordata, Actinopteri, Centropomidae.